Molecule: transfer RNA, 73 nt
Filed under: Cavia porcellus (domestic guinea pig)
Lineage: Eukaryota; Metazoa; Chordata; Mammalia; Rodentia; Caviidae
Rfam family: tRNA
About the family: Transfer RNA (tRNA) molecules are approximately 80 nucleotides in length. Their secondary structure includes four short double-helical elements and three loops (D, anti-codon, and T loops).
Source: Rfam by way of RNAcentral
GGGGAUUUAGCUCAGCUGCUCAAGCACUUGCCUGGUAAGCAUGAGGUCAUAGGUUUGAUCCCCGGUAUCCCCC